Molecule: ribosomal RNA, 240 nt
Filed under: uncultured bacterium
Lineage: Bacteria
Description: partial 16S ribosomal RNA
Rfam family: Bacterial small subunit ribosomal RNA
Source: RNAcentral
AGCGUUGUUCGGAAUCACUGGGCGUAAAGCGCACGUAGGCGGAUUGUUAAGUCGGGGGUGAAAUCCUGAGGCUCAACCUCAGAACUGCCUUCGAUACUGGCAAUCUCGAGUCCGGAAGAGGUUGGUGGAACAGCUAGUGUAGAGGUGAAAUUCGUAGAUAUUAGCUAGAACACCAGUGGCGAAGGCGGCCAACUGGUCCGGUACUGACGCUGAGGUGCGAAAGCGUGGGGAGCAAACAGG